RNAcentral lists this ribosomal RNA (497 nucleotides) under uncultured bacterium. Its description in RNAcentral is "partial 16S ribosomal RNA". It matches the Rfam family "Bacterial small subunit ribosomal RNA", at positions 28 to 507 of the family's 1533-position model. The record is from RNAcentral.
GAUGAACGCUGGCGGCGUGCCUAAUACAUGCAAGUCGAGCGGACAGACGCGAAGCUUGCUUCUCUGAUGUUAGCGGAGGAGGUGUGAGUAACACGUGGAUAACCUACCUAUAAGACUGGGAUAACUUCGGGAAACCGGAGCUAAUACCGUAUAAUAUUUUGAACCGCAUGGUUCAAAAGUGAAAGACGGUCUUGCUGUCACUUAUAGAUGCAUCCGCGCUGCAUUAGCUAGUUGUUAAGGUAACGGCUUACCAAGGCAAGGAUGCAUAGCCGACGUGAGAGGGGGAUCGCCCACACGGGAACUGAGACACGCUCCAUACGCCUAAGGGAGGCAGCAGUAGCGAACCUUACGCAAUGGGCGAAAGCCUGACGGAGCAACGCCGCGUGAGUGAUGAAGGCCUUCGGAGCGGAAAACUCUGUUAUUGGGGAAGAACAUAUGUGUAAGGAACUGUGCACAUCGUGACGGUACCUAAUAAGAAAGCAACGGCUAACUACGUG